This 497-nucleotide ribosomal RNA is filed under the name uncultured bacterium. RNAcentral's name for it is "partial 16S ribosomal RNA". It matches the Rfam family "Bacterial small subunit ribosomal RNA", at positions 28 to 507 of the family's 1533-position model. The record is from RNAcentral.
GAUGAACGCUGGCGGCGUGCCUAAUGCAUGCAAGUCGAGCGAACGGACGAGAAGCUUGCUUCUCUGAUGUUAGCGGCGGACGGGUGAGUAACACGUGGAUAACCUACCUAUAAGACUGGGAUAACUUCGGGAAACCGGAUCUAAUACCGGAUAAUAUUUUGAACCGCAUGGUUCAAAAGUGAAAGACGGUCUUGCUGUCACUUAUAGAUGGAUCCGCGCUGCAUUAGCUAGUUGGUAAGGUAACGGCUUACCAAGGCAACGAUGCAUAGCCGACCUGAGAGGGUGAUCGGCCACACUGGAACUGAGACACGGUCCAGACUCCUACGGGAGGCAGCAGUAGGGAAUCUUCCGCAAUGGGCGAAAGCCUGACGGAGCAACGCCGCGUGAGUGAUGAAGGUCUUCGGAUCGUAAAACUCUGUUAUUAGGGAAGAACAUAUGUGUAAGUAACUGUGCACAUCUUGACGGUACCUAAUCAGAAAGCCACGGCUAACUACGUG